GUGCAGCAGGCGAGAAUCCUCCGCAAUGCGCGAAAGCGCGACGGGGCCACCCCGAGUGCCGCCCGCUGAGGGUGGCUUUCCCCGGUGUAGACAGCCGGGGGAAUAAGGGGAGGGCAAGUCUGGUGUCAGCCGCCGCGGUAAUACCAGCUCCCCGAGUGGUGGGGACGAUUAUUGGGCCUAAAGCGUCCGUAGCCGGCCCAGCAAGUCUCCCGUUAAAUCCAGCGAUCUAAUCGCUGGACUGCGGGAGAUACUGCUGGGCUAGGGGCGGGAGAGGCCGGCGGGUAGUUUCCGGGGUAGGGGUGGAAAUCCUAUAAUCCCGGGAGGACCGACCAGUGGCGAAGGCUGCCGGCUGGAACGCGCCCGACGGUGAGGGAUGAAAGCC
Molecule: ribosomal RNA, 382 nt
Filed under: uncultured microorganism
Description: bacterial SSU rRNA
Rfam family: Archaeal small subunit ribosomal RNA
Source: RNAcentral